This 281-nucleotide long non-coding RNA is filed under the name Mytilus galloprovincialis (Mediterranean mussel). Lineage: Eukaryota; Metazoa; Mollusca; Bivalvia; Mytilida; Mytilidae. The record is from RNAcentral.
AAACGUGAUAGGAAGCACAUAGAACAUGUAAAUCUUGCAAUUGUUAAAAAAAAACCACAAUCUAGUCAAAUCAAAGACACACGGGAUAUGUAGAUACAUGGCCCCAUCCUCUCUCUAAAAAAAUCACCAUCACUGCCCUGGGAACAGUAUAACUGACAUAUAUGUUCCUGCACUGCCAGAGGAGAAAUUCUGCAGGAAUGAAAAUUAUGCCCAUCAUUUUAGCAUCAAAAAUCAAAAAAAAUGUUUUCUUUCUAUACAUUAUAUACAUUGUAUCCUGUGGA